Felis catus (domestic cat) is the source of this 1919-nucleotide long non-coding RNA. RefSeq lists it as uncharacterized. The transcript is spliced from 3 exons. NCBI's taxonomy places the organism in Eukaryota, Metazoa, Chordata, Mammalia, Carnivora, Felidae. The record is from RefSeq and is a predicted model, not a curated record.
GCUGCAGGAACCGCCCGAACGGGACGGAGGGGAGGAGCAGAAAAUCACCCUCGUUACCGACGAAGAGUAAAACCACCCUUCCAAAGCGCGCUUGCUCUUGGUAUCGCGCGGCGACUGCAAAUCUAACCUGCGGCGGACCCGAGAGCGCGCUUGGGUCACGCUCUUUCGUCUGAGUCAGACAUUACCACCUCUGUCUAGAAUGGAGGACCUCAAGGAAAGAACUCGAGAGCCCUCGGUAAGUUCUUGUAUCCAUCUUUUAUUCCCUUUGCUAUGCUAAAUCCUGCUAGUGGGACCCAGCAAAGGAGAACGGCUGGCCCACCUUCUGUGCGACUGGACCGGACUCCUCAAGGGUUGAGUCCCCGCUUUCUUCACUUUUUUACGUCCCUAGAGCCCAGCCCAGUGCCCAGCACAUGAGAAAGACGUAAUAGUGGCUGAAAGAACGAAGGUCCUCAGAGAUGAUCACAAGGUGACUAUAUUAAACUGUGCUCUGCUUGCUAGUCCGAAGUGCUCCGCUCUACCCUGGCUGGUCCAACUAAUCAUCAUUAAACAGUGAGAGGAGAAGUCAUCCCUUAAGCUAAAUCCUAAGCUCCACGAGGACAAGGCCUCUGUUUUUCAAAGAUGCAUCCCUGAAGCACCUGGGUGGCUCAGUCGGUUAAGCGUCCAAAACUCUUGAUUUCGGUUUCAGGUCGUGAUCUCACGGUUCGCAAACGAGCCUUAAGUCGGGCUCUGCGCUGCCAGCGCGGAGCCUGCUUGGGAUCCUCUUUCUCCCCCUCUCUCUGCCCCUCCCCUGCUAGCGCUCUCGCUCUCUCUCUCAAAAUAAAUAAACUUAAAAAAAAAGACACAGCCCUAACACCUCCUACAACACAGGAGGCAAUUCAGUAAGAACGGGGGAAAUGAAUGGGCAGGGUGGGUAAACUCAGCGCCUAAGAAGGGAACGAAGCAAUUGUUUGUAAACCGAUUGCUGCCUGGUGGAAAACAGGGCGCGAUCUAGCUCUGUUACCAGUCCCCCUCUCUCCCUGGACGAAUAUGAUCGAGGCUGAUGCGAUUUUUCUUCCCUUUCACUACUCCAGGACCAAGAGAAGCAGGAAAAAAGGCAAAGAAACGUACUCUGAAGAUUUCAAACAAGUUCUGAGAGAAUGAUGCCGUUACGAGAGGUACUACGUUGGAUACUGGAAACGCAGGGACGAAAGACACACGAUCCCUCCUCUUAAUGAGUACUUUCCACCAGAAAAGACCAGAAAAUCACCAGUAGCCAUAGGAUACUAUGCAGAGAUAUGCACAAACUGCCAUGGGAACACAGAGGAGGAAGACUGAGUCAGACCAGGGAGAUCAGAGAAGACUUCCUAAAACAGUCUUUUGUUUGACCUGAGACUCGACAGGUAAGAGUGAAGGCAGAGGUUUGAAGAUAUAGGUAACAACAUCUGGAAAACCAUCAAGCCAAGAAAGAGCACAGCAUUUCUGGAAAUUAUAAAUAUUUCGUUAUGUGCGGGGGGAGUUAGAGGGAGUGACAAGAAACGAAGCUAGGAAGGUAGGCUCAGGCUGGCGAGGUAGAAAGGUAUCAGAUCAUGAAGGGCUUGGUAUAUUAAAAUUAGGAGAGUCUGAACUUCGGUUCGCAAACAAAGUUGAUGUCUCCUCCACUGUUCCAUUUCUAGCACCUAGCACAGUGCCUGACAUAGUAAGUACUCCAAAAUAUGAAGAGACGAACGAUGAGCGCCUAACAGAUUACAGGAAGCCAUUGAAGAGUAUUAAGCAGAACACACAGACACAAAUCUACAGUUGAAACUAUUCUUUUAAAUGGUGCCGACAUGGGGCACCUGGGUGGCUCAUUCGGUUGAGCGUCCGACUUCGGCUCAGGUCACGAUCUCGCGGUUCGUGGGGUCGAGCCCCGCGUCGGGCUCUGGGCGGACAGCUCAGAGCCU